This 75-nucleotide transfer RNA is filed under the name Anaerolineaceae bacterium. RNAcentral's name for it is "tRNA-Lys". It matches the Rfam family "tRNA". From Rfam's summary of the family: Transfer RNA (tRNA) molecules are approximately 80 nucleotides in length. Their secondary structure includes four short double-helical elements and three loops (D, anti-codon, and T loops). Lineage: Bacteria; Bacillati; Chloroflexota; Anaerolineae; Anaerolineales; Anaerolineaceae. The record is from RNAcentral.
GGCCCUGUAGCUCAAUGGAAGAGCAGUUGACUCUUAAUCAAUUGGUUGAAGGUUCGAGUCCUUCCAGGGUCAUCA